The submitters of this non-coding RNA (120 nucleotides) gave its source as unclassified sequences. The record is from Rfam.
UUGAAUCGCAGAUAGAAAUAGGCUGUAUAAUCACAUAACCAAAUUAACGUUUAAGUGUCAUGUGCUGGCACUGGUCGUGAUGGGUGGGUUGUCCGAGAAUGGAUAGCCCAUUUUUAUUUC